CUCUCCAUCACUCUCGAGCGCUCCCUCCCUCCCUCUCAUGGCUCAUGGCAUGCACAGCCGCUGAGCUGCUCUAAAUAGGUGCCACCCUGAAUAGGAGACAGAUGGAAACGAAGGUCCCCCGCUGAGCGGUUCCCCUGCAGCUGUGCUGUGUUCCCAAUGCCAGGGAGUGAUGACAGCCCACCAAGGGGCACAGAGACACACGGAGAAAAGACGUUCUGAGUGCCAUCACGCUCACUCACAAUGCCAGGACCGACUGGCAGGGAGGGAAGAGGAGACCACCAUAGUCCCUGUGCCCAAGAACACCAAGGUAACCUGCCUAAAUGACUACAGACCCGUAGCCCUAACGUCUGUAGCCAUGAAGUGCUUUGAAAGGCUGGUCAUGGCUCACAUCAACACCAUUAUCCCAGAAACCCAAGACCCACUCCAAUUUGCAUACCGCCCCAACAGAUCCACAGAUGACACAAUCUCUAUUGCACUCCACACAGCCCUUUCCCAUCUGGACAAAAGGAACACCUACGUGAGAAUGCUAUUCAUUGACUACAGCUCAGCAUUCAACACCAUAGUGCCCUCCAAGAUCCUCACUAAGCUAAGGACCCUGGGACUGAACACCUGCAACUGGAUCCUGGACUUCUUGACAUGCCAUCCCCAGGUGGUAAGGGUAGGUAACAACACAUCUGCCACACUGAUCCUCAACACGGGGGCCCCUCAGGGGUGCGUGCUUAGUCCCCUCCUGUACUCCCUGUUCCCUCAUGACUGUAUGGCCAAGCACGACUCCAACACCAUCAUUAAGUUUGCCGACGAUACAUCAGUGGCCUUAUCACAAUGAGACAGCCUAUAGGGAGGUGGUCAGAGACCUGGCAGUGUGGUGCCAGAGAUGAUCGUGGACUACAGGAAAAGGAGGGCCGAGCACGCCCCCAUUCUCAUCGAUGGGGCUGUAGUGGAGCAGGUUGAGAGCUUCAAGUUCCUUGGUGUCCACAUCACCAACACACUAUUGUGGUCCAAACACACCAAGACAGUCG
Molecule: long non-coding RNA, 1019 nt
Filed under: Salmo salar (Atlantic salmon)
Lineage: Eukaryota; Metazoa; Chordata; Actinopteri; Salmoniformes; Salmonidae
Description: lncRNA (ENSSSAG00000098820.1)
Source: RNAcentral